AUACCCGACAUCGCUUUUCAUUCAUAUUUACAUUAAAACUGUGAGUGAAUCAGUGAAAAUAUUUAACAGCUGUUACACUUUAUAAAGUAAAAUCGUCCGAAUUGCUUUUCUGGACUUAAACGCUCAAAGCCGAAUAUUUGAAAGCCAAUGGUGUAUUAGAACCGAGACAGUUGUAGGGCUUUAUGAACAAAAAAAGUGAAUGUCUUUAUGUGUGUGAUUGUGUACUUGACCUGAAAUACGCUAACGAAAAUGUGUUUGACAUUGUACUUCAAGUAUAUAACACAGUAGGUUCAUACAGCAACAAUGGACUACAUCCACUGUUUUUAUUCUAUUCGUUUCGUCUCCUUUAAAUAAGUGUCUCAUUGGCUACCAUACCACAUCUCCAUGUUUUAAAGAAGAAAUUGGUAAAAGCCAACUUCGACCAACAUUGCCUGAGAACGAAGAAAUAAUUGUAAAAUCAUUUGUUAAAAAAGUAAACUGACAACGCCAUCGGUAAAAAAAAAAAAAAAAGACAAAAAGG
Molecule: long non-coding RNA, 520 nt
Filed under: Mytilus galloprovincialis (Mediterranean mussel)
Lineage: Eukaryota; Metazoa; Mollusca; Bivalvia; Mytilida; Mytilidae
Source: RNAcentral